This 481-nucleotide ribosomal RNA is filed under the name uncultured Glomus. Its description in RNAcentral is "SSU rRNA". It matches the Rfam family "Eukaryotic small subunit ribosomal RNA", at positions 569 to 1053 of the family's 1831-position model. The record is from RNAcentral. Lineage: Eukaryota; Fungi; Glomeromycota; Glomeromycetes; Glomerales; Glomeraceae.
AGCAGCCGCGGUGAUUCCAGCUCCAAUAGCGUAUAUUAAAGUUGUUGCAGUUAAAAAGCUCGUAGUUGAAUUUCGGAAUCAAUGGAUCGGUCAUGCCACUCGGUGUGUACUGGUUUGAUUGGUUCUCACCUUCUAAGGAACCGUGAUGUCAUUAAUUUGGUGUCGCGGGGAAUUAGGACUGUUACCUUGAAAAAAUUAGAGUGUUUAAAGCAAGCUCACGCUUGAAUACAUUAGCAUAGAAUAAUGAAAUAGGACAUUGUAUUCUAUUUUGUUGGUUUCUAGGAUCGAUGUAAUGAUUAAUAGGGAUAGUUGGGGGCAUUAGUAUUCAAUUGUCAGAGGUGAAAUUCUUGGAUUUAUUGAAGACUAACUACUGCGAAAGCAUUUGCCAAGGAUGUUUUCAUUAAUCAAGAACGAAAGUUAGGGGAUCGAAGACGAUCAGAUACCGUCGUAGUCUUAACCAUAAACUAUGCCGACUAGGGAU